This 253-nucleotide ribosomal RNA is filed under the name uncultured bacterium. Its description in RNAcentral is "partial 16S ribosomal RNA". It matches the Rfam family "Bacterial small subunit ribosomal RNA", at positions 524 to 776 of the family's 1533-position model. The record is from RNAcentral.
UACGGAGGAUGCAAGCGUUAUCCGGAAUGAUUGGGCGUAAAGCGCGCGCAGGCGGCGAUCUACGUCUGGGGUGAAAGCCCGGAGCUCAACUCCGGGACUGCCUUGGAUACGGGAUCGCUUGAGGAUUGGAGAGGCAAGGGGAAUUCCACGUGUAGCGGUGAAAUGCGUAGAGAUGUGGAGGAACACCUGUGGCGAAGGCGCCUUGCUGGCCAAUUACUGACGCUGAGGCGCGAAAGCGUGGGGAGCAAACAGG